Molecule: long non-coding RNA, 661 nt
Filed under: Pan troglodytes (chimpanzee)
Lineage: Eukaryota; Metazoa; Chordata; Mammalia; Primates; Hominidae
Description: long non-coding RNA NONPTRT004948
Source: RNAcentral
UACAUGCACAGUCAUGUCACAGGUAGUCACACCCUCUCACUCACAUCCUCCCAGGCACACUCACAAUCAAGCCUUCACACGCACAACAGUCACACCCUCACAUGCAGUCACACCCAUAUGCACACUCAUGCACACUCACAUCCUCCCAUGCAGUCACUCGCACGGGCAGUCACACAUUCACUCUCACAUGCACACAGUCACACUCUCAUGCAGUCACACCUGCACAUGCACACAGUCACACCUGCACUGUCACACCCAUACGUGCACUCAGUCACACCCUCAUAUGCAGUCACACCCUCACAUGCACACUCAUGCACACUCACAUCCUCCCAUGCAGUCACUCGCACGUGCAGUCACACAUUCACUCUCACAUGCAGUCACACUCUCAUGCACUCAGUCACACCUUCACAUGCACACAGUCACACCUGCACUGUCACACCCACACAUGCACUCACAGUCACACCCUCAUAUGCAGUCACACCUCACAUGCACACUCAGUCACACCCUCACAUGCACACUCAUGCACUCAUAUCCUCCCAUGCAGUCACACCUGCACAUGCAGUCACACUGUCACACCCACACAUGCACACUCAGUCACAUCCUCUCAUGCACUCAUAUACACAAUCACACCCUCCCAUGCACAAAGGCACUCACAAUCACA